CUGGUAGGCUGGCUGGGUUUCUGGUUGCUGCAGGGUACAUUCUGUGGAGAAGGUUCCUGGACUACUCUGAACCAGUAGGCUUUGGCAAGCUCUGGCACUGUCAUAAGCAACGCAUUUUCAACUAAAUAUGCAGCAAGGACCCAUUGGACAUGUCCAGUACUGGACCAGUGAACCGAGCAGAGGAACCAGACAAAUACUGGAGACAGAUGUGUUUUCCUUCCCCCAUUGUAAGCUCUCUCUUCUAUGGUCACUCAAACCACAAAACAAGAUCUCUGCAAGCAAAUCGUCUGCUGACAAUGUCUCUAACAUACAAAGUGUCUUGGGCUGAAUAAAAGGAAGGGGCUGAAUAAAAUAUCUCUAUAGUGAGGAUAAAGUAGUCUUGUCAGUGUUCUCACUGGGAAAGCAUCUGUACAAGGAAAAAAAACUCCUGAUGAUUCUCCAGCACAAUAUUUCCAAAUUGCAUCAGUUUUCUCAGGCAUGGUG
Long non-coding RNA from Passer domesticus (house sparrow), 483 nucleotides. RefSeq lists it as uncharacterized. The record is from RefSeq and is a predicted model, not a curated record. Lineage: Eukaryota; Metazoa; Chordata; Aves; Passeriformes; Passeridae. The transcript is spliced from 3 exons.